This 67-nucleotide transfer RNA is filed under the name Sindiplozoon sp. DZ-2018. Its description in RNAcentral is "tRNA-Phe". It matches the Rfam family "tRNA". From Rfam's summary of the family: Transfer RNA (tRNA) molecules are approximately 80 nucleotides in length. Their secondary structure includes four short double-helical elements and three loops (D, anti-codon, and T loops). Lineage: Eukaryota; Metazoa; Platyhelminthes; Monogenea; Mazocraeidea; Diplozoidae. The record is from RNAcentral.
GUCUUUUUAGCUUAUUAAUAAGAGUGUUAGUUUGAAGAACUGAAGGUAGUAGAUUUACUAGGGGACA